This 554-nucleotide ribosomal RNA is filed under the name Deltaproteobacteria bacterium. RNAcentral describes it as "partial 23S ribosomal RNA". It matches the Rfam family "Bacterial large subunit ribosomal RNA", at positions 1 to 506 of the family's 2925-position model. The record is from RNAcentral. Lineage: Bacteria; Pseudomonadati; Myxococcota; Myxococcia.
GUAGUUAAGCUACUAAGGGCGUACGGUGGAUGCCUUGGCGCCAGAAGCCGAAGAAGGGCGUGGUACACUGCGAUAAGCCUCGGGGAGCCGUGUGCAGGCGUUAUAUCCGGGGAUACCCGAAUGGGGAAACCCGCCUGGGGUGGGCAACCUUGCCCAGGCACCGCCCGCUGAAUACAUAGGCGGGACGGGGGGAACGCGGGGAACUGAAACAUCUUAGUACCCGCAGGAAAAGAGAUCAUUCCCUGAGUAGUGGCGAGCGAAAGGGGAGUAGCCCAAACUGAUGUCACUCAGUGGUGUGCAGGCCUAUGUGACAUCGGGGUUGUAAGGCCCGGCUGGGUACUGCACGAGCCCAAAGGAGUUACAAAUCUGGCUGCUAGUCGAAUCUUUCAGGAAAGCGGAACCAUAGAGGGUGAUAGUCCCGUAGGCGAAAGCAGACCAGACUCCUGCCGGUGACCUUGAGUACCACGGGACACGGGAAAUCCUGUGGGAAGCAGGGAGGACCACCUCCCAAGGCUAAAUACUCCCUGGCGACCGAUAGCGAACAAGUACCGUGA